Molecule: ribosomal RNA, 369 nt
Filed under: uncultured Psychrobacter sp.
Lineage: Bacteria; Pseudomonadati; Pseudomonadota; Gammaproteobacteria; Moraxellales; Moraxellaceae
Description: bacterial SSU rRNA
Rfam family: Bacterial small subunit ribosomal RNA
Source: RNAcentral
CUCUUCGGUUAAUACCCGGAGACGAUGACAUUAGCUGCAGAAUAAGCACCGGCUAACUCUGUGCCAGCAGCCGCGGUAAUACAGAGGGUGCAAGCGUUAAUCGGAAUUACUGGGCGUAAGGCGAGCGUAGGUGGCUUGAUAAGUCAGAUGUGAAAUCCCCGGGCUUAACCUGGGAACUGCAUCUGAAACUGUUAGGCUAGAGUAGGUGAGAGGGAAGUAGAAUUUCAGGUGUAGCGGUGAAAUGCGUAGAGAUCUGAAGGAAUACCGAUGGCGAAGGCAGCUUCCUGGCAUCAUACUGACACUGAGGCUCGAAAGCGUGGGUAGCAAACAGGAUUAGAUACCCUGGUAGUCCACGCCGUAAACGAUGUC